GACAGAGGUGCCGAGCGUUAGGCGGAAUCACUGGGCUUAAAGCGUGUGUAGGCGGACUUCUAAGUACCUUGUGAAAUCCCACGGCUCAACCGUGGAACUGCUUGGUAUACUGGUCGUCUUGAGCCACCUAGGGGCAACCGGAACAAACGGUGGAGCGGUGAAAUGCGUAGAGAUGUGGAGGAAUGCCGAUGGCGAAGGCAGCCUCCUGGGCCAACACUGACGCUCAUGCACGAAAGCGUGGGGAGCAAACAGG
This 253-nucleotide ribosomal RNA is filed under the name uncultured bacterium. RNAcentral's name for it is "partial 16S ribosomal RNA". It matches the Rfam family "Bacterial small subunit ribosomal RNA", at positions 524 to 776 of the family's 1533-position model. The record is from RNAcentral.